UACAGAGGUCUCAAGCGUUGUUCGGAUUCAUUGGGCGUAAAGGGUGCGUAGGUGGCGGGGUAAGUCAGGUGUGAAAUCUCGGGGCUCAACCCCGAAACUGCAUUUGAUACUGCCUUGCUCGAGUACUGGAGAGGAGAUUGGAAUUUACGGUGUAGCAGUGAAAUGCGUAGAUAUCGUAAGGAAGACCAGUGGCGAAGGCGAAUCUCUGGACAGUCACUGACACUGAGGCACGAAGGCCAGGGGAGCAAACGGG
RNAcentral lists this ribosomal RNA (253 nucleotides) under uncultured bacterium. RNAcentral describes it as "partial 16S ribosomal RNA". It matches the Rfam family "Bacterial small subunit ribosomal RNA", at positions 524 to 776 of the family's 1533-position model. The record is from RNAcentral.